UCUAGCAUGUGCGCGAGUCAUUGGGACUUUUUUUCAGGAAAGCCCAGAGGCGCAAUGAAAGUGAAGAUCGGCCUUUUCGGCUUGAUCGAGGGAGGAUGGCUCAUUGUUAUUUUUUAUGAUGACGGGCUCGCACUCCCGGGGCGUCUCGCGCUCAUUUCGAGCGGAGGCGCACCCAGAGCGUACACGCUGGGACCCGAAAGAUGGUGAACUAUGCCUGGUCAGGACGAAGUCAGGGGAAACCCUGAUGGAGGUCCGUAGCGAUUCUGACGUGCAAAUCGAUCGUCGGAACUGGGUAUAGGGGCGAAAGACUAAUCGAACCAUCUAGUAGCUGGUUCCCUCCGAAGUUUCCCUCAGGAUAGCUGGCNCUCGCUUAAAGCGAGUCUCAUCUGGUAAAGCGAAUGAUUAGAGGCCUCUUGGGGCCG
RNAcentral lists this ribosomal RNA (422 nucleotides) under Dicoelothorax platycerus. RNAcentral's name for it is "eukaryotic LSU rRNA". It matches the Rfam family "Eukaryotic large subunit ribosomal RNA", at positions 674 to 1040 of the family's 3401-position model. Lineage: Eukaryota; Metazoa; Arthropoda; Insecta; Hymenoptera; Eucharitidae. The record is from RNAcentral.